AAGAGAGGAACCUUUUAACCAUGAUGUGUACUUCUUUGCUGCCAUGCUGGAUCCACAGUUUGGCUUAAGCUGGGUGGAUUUAGAUGUUACCAACGGAGGUAAUGCAGCAUCGGUGAAGAAGUUCAGAGAUGAACUUAAGAAGACACUGACAGACACAUUGAUCUUUGGGGUGGAGAACAUGGAGAGUACAGAUGACAAGUGCUCAGAAGCCAUGAAUGUGGAUCCAACCAGUCAUUCGCCACCAGCCAAAUGCCCUCGACUUCUGUCACGCUACAAGGCACAUAAGAAGCACAGCUCCUCUGUCCAGAAUUCAAGUAUUGCAACACAAUUAAACAGAUACUUUAAUGAUAUAAGAGACUGUGACAGUGACAAUGCUCUUGCCUUCUGGGGAGAAAACCAGUCCAAAUAUCCUCAACUGCACAAUUUGGCUUUGAAAGUGCUAUCCGUCCCUGCCUCCUCUGCACCAGUGGAAAGGGUUUUUAGUCGAGGAGGCAUUGUAAUGAGACCCCAUCGUGCACGUUUAGGUGCAAAAAUGCUGCAGUCUCUAAUCUUUCUGAAGUGCAAUGAAACCUUACUUUAAACUAAUUUUAUGUAUCACCUACUUUAUUUCAACCACUGUUCAACUACAUGGUUAUCCUUGUUCUCGAGUUUUGCCAUUGACGUUUUCUAAAGCUUUGGCGUAUUAUGAAACUGCUUCCAGUUGUAUAAUUUUAUUUUUGAAACGCAUGCAGUUGGGCCUCUAAAUGUCAGAUUUCUUUAUUAUGUAUGUUAUGUAUAAGUUGCUACAUCCAUUCAACAGCAGAGUUAAAGAUGCAGUAUGUAACUUUGUUAAAACAAAAAAAUAUCUUUGUAAAAGUUAUAUAGUUUUUUUUAUAUAUUUAUGUCACUAUGUUGUGUCAGUAUGUUAUGAGACCGACAAGCUGUGAAAAUAUUGAGCUCCUCUGCCUUUUCUCCAUGUUCCCAGUGCUAACUGGAGAAAUACACUGCUUGGUCAAAAACAAACCAUCUGAUCCAGCAAAAGGGUCUUAGAACUGAUAAAAGUCAGUCAUGUUUUUGUGCACGUAUUUCAAUGGGGUUUGUAUUUCUGCAGAUGGCAGUAGUCGCUCAGGGAGGAAGUGAAGGAGAUCAAUCUUUUUUUCAACAAAUUAUCUGUCUCAUAACAUAUUGUCACAACUUAGUGAUAGAUAUAGAUUUAUUUAAGAAAAGUUAUAUAAUGUAGCUAUAAUCUGUAUACGAGAGAGAAACGAGAGAAAUGAUUGGCAUUUUUUCAGUUUUACAUAUUUGCACAUGGUUUUGAAAUAGCACAUUUAAAAACAACAUAAAUGUAUGUACUGUUCAUGAAAGGCAGAGAAAAUACUAUUUUGAUCGACUUUGAUUGUUUGAAAUUCUGUGAUUACAACAUAGAAGUACUAAAUAAAGAUGUUUAUGUUUA
Fundulus heteroclitus (mummichog) is the source of this 1432-nucleotide long non-coding RNA. RefSeq lists it as uncharacterized. The record is from RefSeq and is a predicted model, not a curated record. The transcript has 2 exons. Lineage: Eukaryota; Metazoa; Chordata; Actinopteri; Cyprinodontiformes; Fundulidae.